UAUUUUUUACAAAUUUUAAAAUUAUAGGUAUAAAACAGGCCCCACUUAUAAAAUAAACAAUGACAACAAAAAAGGCACACUCAUUCUAUUUAUUUAUUUAUUUAUUUAUUAUUAUUAUUAUUAUUAUUUUAUAGAAAUAGUAGGAGACUACACGAGAUAAGAAACCCCACAUGCAUCGCUUGAUGACUGACUCUGCCUGUUCAAGGGUUCAAUGUCUCAAUUCCCUUAUGCUGCAUCGAAUUCGAUGAGCACUUCAGAGAGAUUUGUGCUUGAAUAUUGUCAUCCAAAAUAUCCACUCCAAACAUUUAAAAGAGUUGUCGGUGGAACCCAUAGAAAUUUUACCAGGGAUGUCAUGGGCUUUAGACUGAUAAAAUCCAUGUGUUCUUACAAUAAUUUGUUGGCAUCAGAUGGAUUUUUCUUAUACCCUACUUAGAAAUGUUUAAAAGAUGAACAUGUAGAAGGAGAUGGUAAAUGACAAUGGAGUUGUG
RNAcentral lists this long non-coding RNA (488 nucleotides) under Vitis vinifera (wine grape). Its description in RNAcentral is "long non-coding RNA (VVIN_LNC008240)". Lineage: Eukaryota; Viridiplantae; Streptophyta; Magnoliopsida; Vitales; Vitaceae. The record is from RNAcentral.